RNAcentral lists this ribosomal RNA (429 nucleotides) under uncultured bacterium. RNAcentral describes it as "bacterial SSU rRNA". It matches the Rfam family "Bacterial small subunit ribosomal RNA", at positions 97 to 520 of the family's 1533-position model. The record is from RNAcentral.
GGCGAACUGGUGAGUAACAGGUGGGUAACGUGCCCUGAAGUGGGGGAUAACACCGGGAAACCGGUGCUAAUACCGCAUAUGGUGUCAAAAACCUUGGUUUUUGCCAUUAAAGCAGUAGUGCGCUUCAGGAUCGGCCCGUCCCCGAUUAGCUAGUUGGUGAGGUAAUGGCUCACCAAGGCAACGAUCGGUAGCUGGUCUGAGAGGAUGGUCAGCCACACUGGAACUGAGAUACGGUCCAGACUCCUACGGGGGGCAGCAGUCUAGAGGCUUCGUCAAUGGGGGCAACCCUGAACGAGCGACGCCGCGUGUGGGAUUGAAGGCCUUCGGGUCGUAAACCACUGUCGAGUGGGAAGAAUGCCUUGAUGGCGAAUCAGGGAGCGACGGUACCACUAUAGGAAGCCCCGGCUAACUCCGUGCCAGCCGCCGCGG